AUGAACGCUAGCGGCAGGCUUAACACAUGCAAGUCGAGGGGCAGCACGUCUUCGGAUGGUGGCGACCGGCAAACGGGUGCGGAACACGUACGCAACUUACCCAAAACUGGUGAAUAGCCUUCUGAAAAGGAGAUUAAUACACCGUAAGAUAUGCUGGUGGCAUCACCGGCAUAUAAUAGCUGAGGCGGUUUUGGAUGGGCGUGCGCCUGAUUAGGUAGUUGGUGGGGUAACGGCUCACCAAGCCAACGAUCAGUAACUGGUGUGAGAGCACGACCAGUCACACGGGCACUGAGACACGGGCCCGACUCCUACGGGAGGCAGCAGUGAGGAAUAUUGGUCAAUGGACGCAAGUCUGAACCAGCCAUGCCGCGUGAAGGAUGAAGGCGUUCUGCGUUGUAAACUUCUUUUAUCUGGGAAGAAACCUACGAUUUCUAUCGUAGCCGACGGUACCAGAGGAAUAAGCACCGGCUAACUCCGU
This 478-nucleotide ribosomal RNA is filed under the name uncultured bacterium. Its description in RNAcentral is "bacterial SSU rRNA". It matches the Rfam family "Bacterial small subunit ribosomal RNA", at positions 29 to 506 of the family's 1533-position model. The record is from RNAcentral.